Molecule: long non-coding RNA, 2981 nt
Organism: Ictalurus punctatus (channel catfish)
Lineage: Eukaryota; Metazoa; Chordata; Actinopteri; Siluriformes; Ictaluridae
Source: Ensembl
AAAUAAUUAUAUUAUAAAAAGUACUCGGACUGCGUAACAAAUGAAGUAACACAACAAGCGUGCACGAUUCAGCAACAAAGCCAAAAGAAAACAAAAAGAAAUCUCGAGGCGCUCUGGAAGAUUUAGUUAGGAGUUUGAAAUAUUUACAUAUGAUUUUAUGUUAUUUUAUUUUAUAUUGAACAGGGGGAUUUUAAGGGGGUGGGUGGGGGAGGGGCAGACUUUUUUGAUUGACACAAGAGACUUCUUUGUCUCCUUUUCUGUGUUUUUGUAUUAUAUAUACAUAUAUAAAUACAUACACAGUUUAUAUAUUUCUUUGCGUUAUGUAAAAAAAAAUAUAUAUAUAUAUGCGUGCGUGUGUGCGUGCACAUGUGUGCAUAUGAAUAAAAGCUCCGCCUCUGGGUUCAUUGUAUUCUGAAUCAACAAAGCGUUAUACGUGAUUGGUUCAGAACACUUCACAGGCAUCUGGGGCGGAGCUUUUGUGUGGCAGUCAAUCUGCUGCUGACUGAGAUAUUAUGUAUGUAUACACGAAUAAAUGAAAUGUGUUUCCGGAGCAGGAAUGCUGUAAUUUCUAGCAGAUGUUCUAAAAAUUUCAGUUCAGAGCCGUAGAACUGUAGAUUAUGUUCUAAUCCUGAGUUUAACACUCGUGCUUUUCCUCUCCGUUAGUAUCAGUAGUCCUCAGGUUUCUUUGUUUGUUGGUCACACCACGAAUUCAGUCAAAAAGCAGGGUUUUUUUUUUUUUUUUGAUUGAAUAAACCAAUCCAUUGAAAGAUAGAUUCGAUGCGAUUGUGUUAGGUUCGAGUUGAACAUGAAUGGUGCAUCGUUAGCUGAGGCGUCACGUGACUCAGUGUUUCUUAAAAUAAAGAUGAUGCCGAUUGUUCAGCACUGUGAACUGAGGAGCUGAGCAUUUCCUGUUUUCUGUGUUAAAUCGUCGAUGCUGUGUAGUUGUUGUAACCACUACUUGAACAUUUGUUACACUUUUUUCUCCCUUUUUCCAAUUUUAACGUCAUCUUAAAUGGAAAAACUGUAUAUUUUAAUCAGAAUGUCUUAAUACGCAAAUGUAACAGUUUUGAAAAGACAACAAAAGGUGUAAAUACAAUACAGCACAGUUGCUCCUUGCCAAAUUCUGGCUUGUAUGUUUUGUUUUUAAUUUGCGUGCGUGCGUGUGUGUGUGUUUUCUUGUUUAUGUACUGUAACUCUCUCGGUGACGCUCGGAGUGUGUGCUGUUGGUCGGUCAGUGUUAAAGCUCUUCUGGCUUACCUCUUUAUUUACAUUAUAAACCGUUUCAUUUGUAAUAUUUUAAUGACUCAUAAUACGAUCCGGGGGGGGGGGGGGCACCAGGGCUGGAUUUUGAGCGGAUAAAAUAAAUUCUCUUCUGGCAUUGGAGUUAGAGGCCCAAGUAAAAUUUGCUAAUUGUGAUGCACUGCUUCAGAAAAUGGAACUGAUUUAAUGUUUUUUGGUGGUUGUUUUUUUUUUUUUUUAAAACCCAUUUUACUUUUUAUGAUUUGUAGCCUAAUCCAGGCAACGUUAACAUGCCAGGCUGCUGCGCUGCAUGGGUUUUAACGAUACUCAGAGAAAUGUAAAUCCAAUAACUGCUCAAAUCAUUAGGUUACAUGCAAUACAUGCAACAAAGUAGGUAUUUUGGAUGUUUUUAAUUAUACACAUUGUUAAAUUAAGGUAAGCGGCUGAGUUUUCUAAAAACAACAACUAACAACCGUAUAAAGUUUUAUAAAGCAGGUAUUUUGGGUCCACUAAUUUGACUGGAGCAGUGGUGUUGCAAGAGUGCUGAUAUUUAGUAUAACAGCACCGGGACAUUUCACCGUUCGUAUCAAGUCACUUGUGUGUGUUCACUACAUACAAUUCCAAACCGAGCGACAGUUCAUUACAUUGAAACUGUUACUACACUUACUACGGGCUGUCAGUUAAUCUGAGUGUUGGCAUGGUGACAUGCAGCACUAUCUAGCUACAGCUUCUUUAGGAACUGUCGUCAAUGACGGAGCAAAACGAAACAAAAUAUUUGGGCAUGUUGUUUGAAAUGUCAAUUACUUGGUAUUCAUUUCUUUUCUUCUUUUUUUCUUCUUUUUUUAUAGAACUGUUGUAUAAAAACAGUAUCACACUCGAAGUCACGUUGUAUUGAAUAUUAGCACUGCAUGAUUACCUGUGAUUACCUGCACCUGAAUCACACUUGUGCUGAUAUUCACUACAAAAGCACUCACGCUCGUCUGAUAUUGCUUAAUUAACUUUUUUUUUGGGGGGGGGGGGGGGGGGGCUGGGUAUUUGUCAGAGAUCAUAUUAUGACGGUAUGCUGUGUGUGUGUGUGUGUGUGUGUGUGUGAGAGAGAGUGAGGGGAGGACAACUGAGUCUGUCUUCAGCCCCAGGUCAUAGUGUCAUCCCUAAGGGCAAUAACUCCUCAGCGCAGACAUUUGCGUUUGGCCGGCUGAGAGCAGCACUUCAAGGGCGUCACGUAGCACCCACAAUCCUCCAUUCCUCCAGCUCCCACCCCCUCCUCCUCCUGUGUAAAGCUCGCUUUGUAAGUUAUGCAUUCAUAGACAUGUUACUUUCCAUGAACCGUGUGACCACUUCUUGUGACUAAACUAAAAUUUAAAUAAGAGUAAAGACAGGUUUAAAAAUGGAAAAGCCAAAAAAAAAAAAACAUUAGCUAUAUUCAGACAUUAUCUUACAUUACAUUACAUACAGCGUCAAGAAAAAAAAGUGAAAGAUUUAAAGUGAAAAUAAAGAAAAAAUACAACCUGUGUAACAUUACUACUACUUGAAUGCUUCUGUUUGUGACUGAUUUUUUUUUUUUUUUUUUUUUUUUUUUUUUUAAUAUAUACAUCUUUUCUGUAAAGAUAUGCUAAGUGUCUCCCUUUCUUUGUAAAUAAUGUCCGUUUUGGUCCUCGGUGUGACUCGGAUUCAGAGAAUAGUUACCUGGUACUGUAAUUUGCAUUAAAUAAAGAGUAGGAUAGCUUGGAAAUGAACACGUG